CAACAUGACCUUCAUCAUCAUCUUCAUCUGGACUCUCACAGCGUUUGCUCAAGAGUGUAGAGGACAGAUCACCGUCACUCAGAGUCCCUCAAUGACAGCAGCUCAACCAGGACAAACUGUGAACAUCAUCUGUAAAACCAGCACAGAUGUGGCUAGUUAUUCUGGAACAUACUUUUUUAGCUGGUACUUACAGAAACCUGGAGAAGCUCCUAAACUCCUGAUUUAUUAUGCAAACCUCCUCCAGUCAGGAACUCCAUCUAGAUUCAGUGGCAGUGGAUCUAAC
Non-coding RNA from Megalobrama amblycephala (Wuchang bream), 283 nucleotides. NCBI's taxonomy places the organism in Eukaryota, Metazoa, Chordata, Actinopteri, Cypriniformes, Xenocyprididae. The record is from the annotation of a RefSeq genome assembly.